GAGUUUAACAUGUGCGCGAGUCGUUGGGUUUGUCGAAACCCGGUUGAAAAAGGCGCAAUGAAAGUGAAGGCCUUCCACUUGGGUUGGCUUAGGUAGGAUUCGCCCGCUUGAUUUGGCUAGGCUUGCGUCGGGCGACGCACUACCGGACCGUCUGGUCGGCAAAUUGUCCGAAAGGCGGAUCAUGAGCGUACAUGUUGGGACCCGAAAGAUGGUGAACUAUGCCUGAGUAGGAUGAAGCCAGAGGAAACUCUGGUGGAGGUCCGUAGCGAUUCUGAGCGUGCAAAUCGAUCGUCAAACUCGGGUUUAGGGGCGA
This 313-nucleotide ribosomal RNA is filed under the name Sternaspis scutata. RNAcentral's name for it is "eukaryotic LSU rRNA". It matches the Rfam family "Eukaryotic large subunit ribosomal RNA", at positions 671 to 926 of the family's 3401-position model. Lineage: Eukaryota; Metazoa; Annelida; Polychaeta; Terebellida; Sternaspidae. The record is from RNAcentral.